RNAcentral lists this ribosomal RNA (893 nucleotides) under Globorotalia truncatulinoides. RNAcentral's name for it is "SSU rRNA". It matches the Rfam family "Eukaryotic small subunit ribosomal RNA", at positions 1160 to 1605 of the family's 1831-position model. Lineage: Eukaryota; Foraminifera; Rotaliida; Globorotaliidae. The record is from RNAcentral.
AAGGGCACCACAAGAACGCGUGGAGCAUGUGGCUUAAUUUGACUCAACGCGGGGAAUCUUACCGGGUCCGGACACACUGAGGAUUGACAGACGGUUAUUGACUUAUACUCGCUUAAUGGCUUUAAGCUGUUAAACGUUUAACACCUUUACACAAAGAUGCUAGUCCUUUCAUGAUCGUUUGAUAGGUGGUGCAUGACCGUUCUUAGUUCGUGGAGUGAUCUGUCUGCCUAAUUGCGUUUCACUAAGGUCCCAUUCUUCAUACGUAUGAAUAGCGUCUUAACUCACUUUUACCGCUACCUAUUUGUAGUAAGCGCUCAUACUAUUGGGACCGGAAUGCAACGAGCGCGACUGCACCACCUAAUUGCCCCUUAUCUACCAUUAAUUACUUUAUUAACCGCCCUGUACGGGCACCGGGGCCUUACCUUUACUGAAACUAGCUGGACCGCUGCUUUCCUUUAAGCCAGAGGAAGGUUGCGACAAUAACAGGUCUGUGAUGCCCUCAGAUGUUCCGGGCCGCACACGUGCUACAAUGAUCAGCACAAAGAGUAUUACCUAUCUUCUUAUACCUAACCCAAUAUGUUAAACUUAUUGCGUAAGGGUAUUGUCUUAACGACUUAUCCGCUUUAGCGCUUUAAGAUUAUUGGGCGGUUAUGCCUGCCUCGAGAGAGUGUACAGGGCAGCAAGAGUAAUGAUUCCCUCGUUUUUACUACUAAUACCGCGCUUGGUAACAUAUUACACUCGAUUAAGUAGGGUCUUUGCUUUUAAUAGCAAUUGCUAUCCUCACCCUUAGGCUCUAAGGAUAUUACUAUCUCUAAGGUCUACAGGGAGGUGUAUAUGGCGCACUUACUUAUUCACGGUGGGGACAGACCAUUGUUAACUGUUGGUCUCGGUCU